UCAUCCACAUCUCCGAGACAGUCGGCUGAAGUUGUGAAACCAUGUUGAAGGUUGUAUUUCUGCUUGGAUGCCUGCUGAGCCUUGCUCUGGCAAAUCCUACUGACUCGGAACAUGAUCGCGUUGCACGUUCUUCUUCUUCUGAGAGGAAUCCUGGAAUUGCUACCAGUCCUCUUGCCGCACUCCUUCCUCUUCUGCUCCAGAAUCCAACGCUCCUUAC
Molecule: long non-coding RNA, 217 nt
Organism: Archocentrus centrarchus (flier cichlid)
Lineage: Eukaryota; Metazoa; Chordata; Actinopteri; Cichliformes; Cichlidae
Exons: 3
Source: RefSeq, a predicted model, not a curated record